Molecule: ribosomal RNA, 253 nt
Filed under: uncultured bacterium
Lineage: Bacteria
Description: partial 16S ribosomal RNA
Rfam family: Bacterial small subunit ribosomal RNA
Source: RNAcentral
UACAGAGGUCUCAAGCGUUGUUCGGAUUCAUUGGGCGUAAAGGGUGCGUAGGCGGCGCGGUAAGUCGGGUGUGAAAUCUUGGAGCUUAACUCCGAAACUGCAUUCGAUACUGCCGUGCUUGAGGACUGGAGAGGAGACUGGAAUUUACGGUGUAGAGGUGAAAUGCGUAGAUAUCGUAAGGAAGACCAGUGGCGAAGGCGGGUCUCUGGACAGUUCCUGACGCUGAGGCACGAAGGUCAGGGGAGCAAACGGG